Molecule: transfer RNA, 76 nt
Filed under: Lactobacillus crispatus
Lineage: Bacteria; Bacillati; Bacillota; Bacilli; Lactobacillales; Lactobacillaceae
Description: tRNA-Asn
Rfam family: tRNA
About the family: Transfer RNA (tRNA) molecules are approximately 80 nucleotides in length. Their secondary structure includes four short double-helical elements and three loops (D, anti-codon, and T loops). Further hydrogen bonds mediate the characteristic L-shaped molecular structure. tRNAs have two regions of fundamental functional importance: the anti-codon, which is responsible for specific mRNA codon recognition, and the 3' end, to which the tRNAs corresponding amino acid is attached (by aminoacyl-tRNA synthetases). tRNAs cope with the degeneracy of the genetic code in two manners: having more than one tRNA (with a specific anti-codon) for a particular amino acid; and 'wobble' base-pairing, i.e. permitting non-standard base-pairing at the 3rd anti-codon position.
Source: RNAcentral
CCGGGCUUGGCUCAGUUGGUAGAGCGCUUGACUGUUAAACAAGAUGGCGUCCGUACGAGUCUGACAGCCGGAGCUA